CCCUUAGAUGUUCGGGGCCGCACGCGCGCUACAAUGAGUCGAUCAACGAGCGUUCUUUUUUCCAAGUCCGAAAGGUCGAGGUAAUCCGUUGAACCCGACUCGUGCUAGGGAUAGGGAAUUGUAAUUGUUUCCCUUGAACGAGGAAUUCCCAGUAAGCGCAAGUCAUCAGCUUGCGUUGAUUACGUCCCUGCCCUUUGUACACACCGCCCGUCGCUCCUACCGAUUGAAUGCUCAGGUGAGCCAUUCGGACUUUCAUCAUGCUGGUUUCCAGUUUUGAUGAAGGAAAGUCUUGCGAACCUUAUCAUUUAGAGGAAGGAGAAGUCGUAACA
Molecule: ribosomal RNA, 329 nt
Filed under: uncultured eukaryote
Lineage: Eukaryota
Description: partial 18S ribosomal RNA
Rfam family: Eukaryotic small subunit ribosomal RNA
Source: RNAcentral